ACUGUCCCUGUCUACUAU
RNAcentral lists this small nuclear RNA (18 nucleotides) under Arabidopsis thaliana (thale cress). RNAcentral describes it as "snRNA_03430". Lineage: Eukaryota; Viridiplantae; Streptophyta; Magnoliopsida; Brassicales; Brassicaceae. The record is from RNAcentral.